GACGAACGCUGGCGGCGUGCUUAACACAUGCAAGUCGAACGAUGAAAUCACUUCGGUGGUGGAUUAGUGGCGAACGGGUGAGUAACACGUGGGCAAUCUGCCCUUCACUCUGGGACAAGCCCUGGAAACGGGGUCUAAUACCGGAUACCACUUCGUCCCGCAUGGGACGGGGUUGAAAGCUCCGGCGGUGAAGGAUGAGCCCGCGGCCUAUCAGCUUGUUGGUGGGGUAAUGGCCUACCAAGGCGACGACGGGUAGCCGGCCUGAGAGGGCGACCGGCCACACUGGGACUGAGACACGGCCCAGACUCCUACGGGAGGCAGCAGUGGGGAAUAUUGCUCAAUGGGCGAAAGUCUGAUGCGGUUACGCCCCUUGAGGGAUGACCGCCUUUGGGGUGUACAGCUCGAUUCAGCAGGAAGAAGCGCAAGUGACGGUACCUGCAAAGAGCGCCGGCUAACUACGUGCCAGCAGCCGCGGUAAUACGUAGGCGCAAGCGUUGUCCGGAAUUAUUGGGCGUAAAGAGCUCGUAGCGGCUUGUCACGUCGGAUGUGAAAGCCCGGGGCUUAACCCCGGGUCUGCAUUCGAUACGGGCUAGCUAGAGUGUGGUAGGGGAGAUCGGAAUUCCUGGUGUAGCGGUGAAAUGCGCAGAUAUCAGGAGGAACACCGGUGGCGAAGGCGGAUCUCUGGGCCAUUACUGACGCUGAGGAGCGAAAGCGUGGGGAGCGAACAGGAUUAGAUACCCUGGUAGUCCACGCCGUAAACGUUGG
This 765-nucleotide ribosomal RNA is filed under the name Streptomyces sundarbansensis. Its description in RNAcentral is "bacterial SSU rRNA". It matches the Rfam family "Bacterial small subunit ribosomal RNA", at positions 28 to 812 of the family's 1533-position model. The record is from RNAcentral. Lineage: Bacteria; Bacillati; Actinomycetota; Actinomycetes; Kitasatosporales; Streptomycetaceae.